AUGCAUUGAUGAGCUUUAACCCAGAUAACAUUUGUAUAGUGCAACAACAGCCUUGAAUAGUAGAUUGAUAAUUUGCGUAGAAGGGCCUUAAAAGAGAAGGAACAAAUAAGAGCUGGAGGAAGAUGUCCAAGAGUGUCUCAUGAACAUCCACUGACUAAAUGUAUAAAAUAAACGACUGUCAAUGGAAAAGAUUGAAUAUGAAUGGAUUAUGUAAUGGGACAGGAUAAAGCCUGUUUGUUUUGCUAUGAAGCUUCAGUUCAAAUUGAUGACCAAAUAUAUGCCAAGAUAUGUAAUGCUGAAGACUAAUACCAGAUUGAUCGCCAGGGAAUUACAAAGUUAUUUUCAAGAGCACAGUACCACGACACCGGUAAAUGGGAAGGGGGGGAAUGCUGCAAACCUGCAAUUGUGACCAGAACAACUACCAAGAGAUGCAACUAAACUACAAAGAGAGAUGUAUUCUGUGGAAUGUUUGUGUACCUACUUAAAACUGAUGAAAGUGAACUAAAGAAAAGCUAAUGGAAUGGGCAAUAAGAUAAAAGAAACUAAAGCAAUUAGCUAUAGAAAAACAACUCACAUGGUAUGACUACAGAGAGAAUGUUCAGAUAGGUGUUGCAAAGAAGUUAAGUUGUGAAAAAGGAUAGUGCAAAUGCUCAAUAUGCUGUCUGAAAAUGGCAUUGAGUUGAAAUUAGAGGCCAAAAUUAUAUAAGUAGUUUCCAGUACAAUCCACAGCAUGUGCCUACCAAAUAUAUCAGAUCUUUUCCUCAGAUUACUUUAGCAACUGUGCAUUCAAUGCGUAGGUUCAGGGAAAGUUCUGUGCUAACUGCAUCUUAGGUCAAAAGAUCCAGAUGGAGAACAAUAGAAUAGCAAAAACAGUGCGAGUGCAACAUUCCAAGAAUGGUUGAACAAUGAUUCAUAUAUACAUUAGGAUUAGAUCCAUGGCCAGAUGAUAGAACAAAAGGAAUAUGGGUAAUGAAAGCAAAUAAGGUUAUAUCAGAUGAAGGGAAGAUAUCUGAAACAUAAUAAAAGUAAAUUAGCAUUAAAAAGGGAGUGGGAAAAAAAUGGCAUUAAAAAGAAAAAUAAGUGACCUGGUCAACUAGCACUGCAACAGAACCUGAUAAAAAGAAAGCAAAUAUAUGAACUAGAAGCAUCUGAUGCCCAUUAUUCAAGCAAUGCUUCCCAACAAAGAUAAUGUGCAUCAUUUGGAAAAGUCUUGUAGCUAAGCAUAAUGAACAGCUCCAUCCUUAUGAGGAUUUCACAACCUGCCAGUGGGUCACUACUUAGUGGAAGACUGCCCACACUAGUUGUUGUACCAUUGGUGGCUGCAUUGGAGAAAGAAGUGAAUAGAUCUCGAUUUUCAGUUCUCACAAGUCAGUAGUCACCAGCACAAACACAGAAAAAAUAAUCAAAAUGCAAAGCAACAAUGUGCUUACAGUUUAGCAUUGACUGUCCUACUAAGGCUCCAGUCAUUUGCAUCAGCCUUCACAUGCACAAUGAUCAAUUUCUUGAUCAAAGACAAGAAUGGCGACAUACACAAAAUAUAGUAUGAAAGCCUUCACUUAGUACAUGGUGGAAACCAGCACAGCAUGGUUUGCACAUGUGAAGAACUUUAAGAUGCAGACUUUCACAUUUCCGGUGAUCUGUGAAACCACUUUGGUGUAAUUAAAAAUAUUAUCGUUGAAAAUUUAUAAAAGUUACCUACAUAAAUUAUGUUUGCAAAAUUGAAAAGAAAAAAGUUCUGGCAUUCAACAAAAGCUGAUCAAGACGUGUUGAUUUAACUGACACAUGUUAUGAAACCAAAGUUUGGACCUGGAUCAAGGUUUAAUGACUAUAAUACAAAAUGCAAGUAAUAGUUCUGGGAUGAAAAGACAUCCACCUACCUGUAAUUUACCCAUGUAAAAAAACUAUCAUCAAGGUUAGACGGAACUCAACAAGUACUUCUAACAAAAAUAUGGAAACCUACCUUACAUUUACCUAGAAGGAAGACAGAGAAAGGGAGAAUGAGACAAGCAUGUGUGCGCGUGCAUGCACGAGAGAGAGAGAGAGAGAGAGAG
This 2051-nucleotide long non-coding RNA is filed under the name Phoenix dactylifera (date palm). RNAcentral describes it as "long non-coding RNA (PDAC_LNC003642)". The record is from RNAcentral. Lineage: Eukaryota; Viridiplantae; Streptophyta; Magnoliopsida; Arecales; Arecaceae.